RNAcentral lists this ribosomal RNA (288 nucleotides) under uncultured Sphingomonas sp. RNAcentral's name for it is "partial 16S ribosomal RNA". It matches the Rfam family "Bacterial small subunit ribosomal RNA", at positions 355 to 660 of the family's 1533-position model. Lineage: Bacteria; Pseudomonadati; Pseudomonadota; Alphaproteobacteria; Sphingomonadales; Sphingomonadaceae. The record is from RNAcentral.
UGGGGAAUAUUGGACAAUGGGCGAAAGCCUGAUCCAGCAAUGCCGCGUGAGUGAUGAAGGCCUUAGGGUUGUAAAGCUCUUUUACCCGGGAUGAUAAUGACAGUACCGGGAGAAUAAGCCCCGGCUAACUCCGUGCCAGCAGCCGCGGUAAUACGGAGGGGGCUAGCGUUGUUCGGAAUUACUGGGCGUAAAGCGCACGUAGGCGGCUUUGCAAGUCAGAGGUGAAAGCCCGGGGCUCAACCCCGGAAUUGCCUUUGAGACUGCAUCGCUAGAAUUGUGGAGAGGUAA